RNAcentral lists this ribosomal RNA (418 nucleotides) under uncultured bacterium. RNAcentral's name for it is "partial 16S ribosomal RNA". It matches the Rfam family "Bacterial small subunit ribosomal RNA", at positions 360 to 776 of the family's 1533-position model. The record is from RNAcentral.
AAUAUUGCACAAUGGGCGCAAGCCUGGUGCAGCGACGCCGCGUGGGGGAUGACGGCCUUCGGGUUGUAAACCUCUUUCAGUAUCGGCGAAGCUUCCAAUUUUUCUUGGGGGUGACGGUAGGUACAGAAGAAACCCCGGCCAACUACGUGCCAGCCGCCGCGGUAAUACGUAGGGUGCGAGCGUUGUCCGGAAUUACUGGGCGUAAAGAGCUCGUAGGUGGUUUGUCGCGUUGUCCGUGAAAACUCACAGCUUAACUGUGGGCGUGCGGGCGAUACGGGCAGACUGGAGUACUGUAGGGGAGACUGGAAUUCCUGGUGUAGCGGUGGAAUGCGCAGAUAUCAGGAGGAACACCGGUGGCGAAGGCGGGUCUCUGGGCAGUAACUGACGCUGAGGAGCGAAAGCGUGGGGAGCGAACAGG